GAUGAACGCUGGCGGCGUGCCUAAUACAUGCAAGUCGAGCGAACAGACGAGGAGCUUGCUCCUCUGACGUUAGCGGCGGACGGGUGAGUAACACGUGGAUAACCUACCUAUAAGACUGGGAUAACUUCGGGAAACCGGAGCUAAUACCGGAUAAUAUAUUGAACCGCAUGGUUCAAUAGUGAAAGACGGUUUUGCUGUCACUUAUAGAUGGAUCCGCGCCGCAUUAGCUAGUUGGUAAGGUAACGGCUUACCAAGGCGACGAUGCGUAGCCGACCUGAGAGGGUGAUCGGCCACACUGGAACUGAGACACGGUCCAGACUCCUACGGGAGGCAGCAGUAGGGAAUCUUCCGCAGUGGGCGAAAGCCUGACGGAGCAACGCCGCGUGAGUGAUGAAGGUCUUCGGAUCGUAAAACUCUGUUAUUAGGGAGAACAAAUGUGUAAGUAACUAUGCACGUCUUGACGGUACCUAAUCAGAAAGCCACGGCUAACUACGUG
RNAcentral lists this ribosomal RNA (496 nucleotides) under uncultured bacterium. RNAcentral describes it as "partial 16S ribosomal RNA". It matches the Rfam family "Bacterial small subunit ribosomal RNA", at positions 28 to 507 of the family's 1533-position model. The record is from RNAcentral.